This 519-nucleotide ribosomal RNA is filed under the name uncultured Serinicoccus sp. RNAcentral describes it as "bacterial SSU rRNA". It matches the Rfam family "Bacterial small subunit ribosomal RNA", at positions 1 to 526 of the family's 1533-position model. Lineage: Bacteria; Bacillati; Actinomycetota; Actinomycetes; Micrococcales; Ornithinimicrobiaceae. The record is from RNAcentral.
UAGAGUUUGAUCAUGGCUCAGAACGAACGCUGGCGGCGUGCUUAACACAUGCAAGUCGAGUGCGCGUUCUUGUAGCAAUACAGGAAUGGCGCACGGCGCACGGGUGCGUAACACGUGGGUAAUCUGCCCUCUGAUGGGGAAUAACCCGCCGAAAGGCGGGCUAAUUCCGCAUAACAUUCCUUGGACCCCGGUUCGAGGAUUCAAAGGCGUAAGUCGUCGGAGGUGGAGCCCGCGCACGAUUAGCUAGUUGGUAGGGUAACGGCCUACCAAGGCUUUGAUCGUUAGCUGGUCUGAGAGGAUGGCCAGCCACACUGGAACUGAGACACGGCCCAGACUCCUGCGGGAGGCAGCAGUGGGGAAUAUUGCGCAAUGGGCGCAAGCCUGACGCAGCGACGCCGCGUGGGGGAUGACGGCCUUCGGGUUGUAAACCCCUUUCACCAUUGACCAAGGCCCCUAGUGGGUUGAGUGUAGGUGGGGAAGAAGCACCGGCUAACUACGUGCCAGCCGCCGCGGUAAUAC